UGGGGAAUAUUGGACAAUGGGCGAAAGCCUGAUCCAGCCAUGCCGCGUGUGUGAAGAAGGUCUUCGGAUUGUAAAGCACUUUAAGUUGGGAGGAAGGGCAGUAAGCGAAUACCUUGCUGUUUUGACGUUACCGACAGAAUAAGCACCGGCUAACUCUGUGCCAGCAGCCGCGGUAAUACAGAGGGUGCAAGCGUUAAUCGGAAUUACUGGGCGUAAAGCGCGCGUAGGUGGUUCGUUAAGUUGAAUGUGAAAGCCCCGGGCUCAACCUGGGAACUGCAUCCAAAGCUGGCGGGCUAGAGUAGGGCAGAGGGUGGUGGAAUGUCCUGUGUAGCGGUGAAAUGCGUAGAUAUAGGAAGGAACACCAGUGGCGAAGGCGAACACCUGGGCUCAUACAGACACUGAGGUGCGAAAGCGUGGGGAGCAAACAGG
This 429-nucleotide ribosomal RNA is filed under the name Pseudomonadota bacterium. Its description in RNAcentral is "Proteobacteria bacterium partial 16S ribosomal RNA". It matches the Rfam family "Bacterial small subunit ribosomal RNA", at positions 355 to 776 of the family's 1533-position model. The record is from RNAcentral. Lineage: Bacteria; Pseudomonadati; Pseudomonadota.